GAAUAUUGGACAAUGGUCGGAAGACUGAUCCAGCCAUGCCGCGUGAAGGACGAAGGCGCUCAGCGUUGUAAACUUCUUUUGGAUGGGAAUAAUACUCUCGAUUAAUCGGGACUUGAAGGUACCAUCCGAAUAAGCACCGGCUAACGCCGUGCCAGCAGCCGCGGUAAUACGGAGGGGGCGAGCGUUAUCCUGAAUCACUGGGUUUAAAGGGUGCGUAGGCGGCGAGGUAAGUCAGUUGUGAAAUUCCCCGGCUCAACCGGUGGGACUGCGAUUGAUACUGCUUUGCUUGAAACAGGUUGAGGUAAGCGGAAUGUGGCAUGUAGCGGUGAAAUGCAUAGAUAUGCCAUAGAACACCGAUUGCGAAGGCAGCUUGCUGGGCCUGAUUUGACGCUGAGGCACGAAAGCGUGGGGAGCAAACAGG
Molecule: ribosomal RNA, 421 nt
Filed under: uncultured bacterium
Lineage: Bacteria
Description: bacterial SSU rRNA
Rfam family: Bacterial small subunit ribosomal RNA
Source: RNAcentral